ACAUUUCAGGUAUAAGCUUGUAAGUAAUUAAUUUCAGAACCAUUAUUGCUCAUAGGUUAAUUCCUGCAUGUGUGCUGAUCCCUUCGGUAAGACCGCACAAACAAGACCUGGAUUUACCACCGCAGCUUCAGUCCAAUGAAACAAACAACCUGUGAUGAUGAAAUCUAGAAAACCUCAACCAGAGACUUCCAUACGGCACAAUGAAAAUCUGUAACUAUACUUCUUGCAAAAGACGGUCAAUAUUGGUGGAGGCGCAAAACCCGGCCUGAGCUGUCCCCAGUACUAAAAUCAAUCACACACACAAGAUAAGGACAAUUCUGAUACCAUGUCGCAGGCGCUGGAGUAAAGAUGUCUGCACUUGUGAGGGAUAACAACAGUCGAUGGAUACAACGUGUUACGUUACGUUAAUCUUUUAUUUGGCAACCUCCCAUAA
Molecule: long non-coding RNA, 433 nt
Organism: Priapulus caudatus
Lineage: Eukaryota; Metazoa; Priapulida; Priapulimorpha; Priapulimorphida; Priapulidae
Exons: 3
Source: RefSeq, a predicted model, not a curated record